GAGGUUGUGGCUCAGCGGUAGAGCGCUUGCCUUGCAUGUGCAAGGCCCUGGGUUCAAUCCUCAGCACCACA
This 71-nucleotide transfer RNA is filed under the name Marmota monax (woodchuck). RNAcentral describes it as "tRNA.Ala". It matches the Rfam family "tRNA". From Rfam's summary of the family: Transfer RNA (tRNA) molecules are approximately 80 nucleotides in length. Their secondary structure includes four short double-helical elements and three loops (D, anti-codon, and T loops). Further hydrogen bonds mediate the characteristic L-shaped molecular structure. tRNAs have two regions of fundamental functional importance: the anti-codon, which is responsible for specific mRNA codon recognition, and the 3' end, to which the tRNAs corresponding amino acid is attached (by aminoacyl-tRNA synthetases). tRNAs cope with the degeneracy of the genetic code in two manners: having more than one tRNA (with a specific anti-codon) for a particular amino acid; and 'wobble' base-pairing, i.e. permitting non-standard base-pairing at the 3rd anti-codon position. Lineage: Eukaryota; Metazoa; Chordata; Mammalia; Rodentia; Sciuridae. The record is from RNAcentral.